This 152-nucleotide ribosomal RNA is filed under the name uncultured bacterium. RNAcentral's name for it is "partial 16S ribosomal RNA". It matches the Rfam family "Bacterial small subunit ribosomal RNA", at positions 355 to 504 of the family's 1533-position model. The record is from RNAcentral.
UGGGGAAUCUUGGACAAUGGGCGCAAGCCUGAUCCAGCCAUGCCGCGUGAGUGACGAAGGCCUUAGGGUUGUAAACCCCUUUCAGUUGGGACGUCGUCGGUGAACAGCCGGCCGGAGUGACGGUACCUUCAGAAGAAGCCCCGGCUAACUAC